Molecule: long non-coding RNA, 349 nt
Filed under: Dermacentor andersoni
Lineage: Eukaryota; Metazoa; Arthropoda; Arachnida; Ixodida; Ixodidae
Description: uncharacterized LOC126523293
Source: RNAcentral
UUUUGCGGUGGCUAUCUCGGACUCCGACAACGACACUAUUCUCGAAUGCAUGUCAGCCAACCGAACUGCUAUCAACCCAGAAGAAAUGACAGCUACUUAUACCUUCAAUUUUCCAAAUACACAAUUCCACUCAGAGAGAAGGCAUAAUUUACUAUACUGACUAUGUCAACUGCGAUGUAGUGGACUUGGACUUCCAUGGUCAUCAGUGCACACUAUGGGCAAGAAAAGAAGUGAAAGACAACGUGCCACAAAACUGCAUUGACUACUUCGUCGACACCUGUGGCGUCAUCGUCCCUCAACAUAGCAGAGACCUCUGCUUUGAUGGAGAAGGAGACUACAAAUAAAUCCU